RNA transcript from Oncorhynchus nerka (sockeye salmon), 3635 nucleotides. It is a transcript of the gene named tetratricopeptide repeat protein 39C-like, with no coding region annotated. The record is from RefSeq and is a predicted model, not a curated record. Lineage: Eukaryota; Metazoa; Chordata; Actinopteri; Salmoniformes; Salmonidae. The transcript is spliced from 15 exons.
GCAGGACAUAGGAAAUGGUACUGAUGAGAGGAAAUAGCCAGCAGGCAGGGGAAGCUGAGCCAGCACACAGUGCGAUGGCAGGUUGCUGAUUUACCACAGCAGCCUUCAUCUUUGAAACCUCCUACUUGAGAUGCGCUAUGCUAUACGUUAUGACGACAAUCAGUUUUUCGACUGACGACAAUCAUUGCGUGGGGCAGACAAAAAAAGCUAAACAGCCCUUUAUUCUUGUUAUGUAAUAGCAUAAAACACAGCAAGCAGAGGAGACUUUGACUUUGUGCAUUGCAAAUAUCAUGACGACCAGCUAGCACAUUGUAAAUUACGAGGAAGAACAGCUAUGUCUAAAUGAAUGUAUACCUAUUUUAAUCUUAGAAAUAACAUGUAAAGGGUGCAUUGUGUGCAUUUGCACGAAGCUCGAAUGCGCGCCGAGGAUUAAUUUACCGGUGACCAAUUUGAGUCGCCUUCUGAAGAGGUUUAUCGUUGCACUGGUGUGAUUCCUUCAGAAUUUUGGCCGAAAGGAGCGUCUCUCACCUCAUUUGUAAGGAUAUGCCGGAACAGUGUCAUCAUCAAUAACCAAGUUGGGAUAGUCUACUGGGAAGAUUCAUUUUGGAAUCACAUUUUGUUGAAUAUAUUAAUUAUAUCAAGCAGACGAUAGGCAUAAACAAUGGCGGGCCCGGAGCAGUCCCAGCAGGUAGAGCAGAAAGCUGAGCCCAUAGACGACGCUGAGCUCGCUCUUCAAGGUAUCAACAUGCUUCUCAACAACGGAUUCAAGGAGAGCAACGAGCUUUUCAGAAAAUAUAGGACUCACAGUCCACUGAUGAGCUUUGGGGCCAGUUUUGUCAGCUUCCUGAAUGCCAUGAUGACCUUUGAGGAGGAGAAGAUGCAGACGGCGUGUGACGACCUGAGAACCACGGAGAAGCUGUGUGAGAGUGACAACGCUGGCGUCAUAGAGACAAUAAGGAACAAAAUCAAGAAGAGCUUGGAGUCCCAGAGGUCAGCGGUCGUGGUUGUGGACCGCCUGCAACGACAGAUCAUUGUGGCCGACUGCCAGGUCUACCUCGCUGUGCUUUCCUUCGUCAAGCAGGAGCUCUCAUCGUACAUCAAAGGAGGCUGGAUCCUCCGUAAGGCCUGGAAGAUGUACAAUAAGUGCCACAGUGACAUCAGUCAGCUGCAGGAGACCUGUGUGAGGCGCUGUUCCUCCCAUGAGGAGGAUCUGUCCUCAGACCAGGCCAAUCACAACUCCCCAGUGGAGGGCACUGUGACUGAAGAGGCCCUGGACCGGCUCAAGGGCUCCGUCAGCUUCGGCUACGGCCUCUUUCACCUCUGCAUCUCUAUGGUACCACCACACCUACUCAAGAUCAUCAACCUGCUGGGUUUCCCUGGUGACCGUCUCCAGGGUUUGUCCUCCCUCAUGUAUGCCAGUGAGAGUAAGGACAUGAAGGCCCCACUAGCUACGUUGGCCCUCCUGUGGUACCACACAGUAGUGCUGCCCUUUUUUGCACUGGAUGGUUCUGACACUCAGGCAGGCCUGGAGGAAGCCAAGGCCAUUCUGCAGAGGAAGGCUGUGGUCUACCCCAAUUCCUCCCUCUUCAUGUUCUUUAAAGGACGUGUUCAGAGGUUAGAGUGCCAAAUUAACAGUGCGCUGGUGUCCUUCCAUGAUGCACUAGAGCUGGCAUCAGACCAAAGAGAGAUCCAGCACGUGUGUCUCUAUGAAAUCGGCUGGUGCAGUAUGAUAGAGAUGAACUUUGAGGAUGCAUUCAGGUCAUUUGAGAGGCUGAAGAAUGAGUCCCGGUGGUCACAGUGUUACUAUGCCUACCUGACUGGAGUAUGUCAGGGAGCUGCAGGGGACUUGGAUGGUGCCAAGUGUGUCUUCAAAGAUGUCCAGAAACUGUUCAAGAGGAAGAACAACCAGAUUGAGCAGUUUGCCCUCAAGCGGGCGGAGAGACUGAGGAAGAUGUCUCCCACCAGAGAGCUGUGCAUUCUGGGAGUCAUAGAGGUGCUGUACCUGUGGAAGGCUCUGCCCAACUGCUCCUCCUCCAAACUGCAGCUCAUGAAUCAGGUGUUACAGAGUGUGGAUGACGCAUCGUGCAGGGGUCUGAAAAACCUCCUUCUUGGUUCCAUUCACAAAUGCCAUGGAAAUAAUAAAGAUGCUAUCCAGUCGUUCCAGCUGGCAGCCAGAGAUGAGUUUGGUCGACAGACCAACUCUUAUGUGCAGCCAUACUCCUGCUAUGAACUUGGAUGUGUCCUGCUUGCCAAGCCAGAAACGGUGGGAAAAGGGAGAGCUUUUCUGCUUCAGUCAAAGGAGGAUUAUGCAGGCUAUGACUUUGAGAACAGACUUCAUGUGCGCAUCCACUCAGCCAUGGCCUCGCUGAAGGAAGUGGUACCUCAAAGACCCGCCGACCACUGAUGUAAUGAUAACUCAGCCUCCAGCUGUGCAUUUGAUGAUACGGGAAGCAUGGCUUUUACUAUACAUUGAAAGCCAUUCAAAACCACAAGAAUUUGGCAGUACAUGCAACCGGCCUCACAACCGCAGACCCUGUGUAACCACGCCAGCCCAGGACCACCACAUCCGGCUUCUUCACGUGCGGGAUCGUCUGAGGAGGGGGAUGGGGGGUGCUGAGGAGUAUUUGUCUCUGUAAUAAAGCCUUAAUGUGUGGGGAGAAAAACUCAUUCUGAAUGGCUGGGCCUGGCUUCCCAGUGGGUGGGCCUAUGCCCUCCCAGGCCCACCCAUGGCUGUGCCCCUGCCCAAUCGUGAAAUCCAUAGAUUAGGGCCUAUUGAAUUUAUUUCAAUUGAGUGAUUUCCUUCUACUCAGUAAAAUCUUUGAAAUUGUUAAAUGUUAAAUUAAAUUGUUAAAUGAACAUGCCAUACUAAUAAAGGCAUUUUAAUUAAUUAUAUGAAGAGUGCUGGUCCUCCUUUCUUUUUGAUGACCAAUUUACCCCUUUUAGCAAAGAGCACCUCCUGUCUACCAAAAUGUACUAUUGUGUAUCUUAGUAGCGCUUCCCUUCCUCCUCUUUCUACUUGUUAUUUGUUGCGUUUCUGUUUCUGUUCAGUAUACAUGAAGGGGGAUAUAAACGAUCUUUGAAUCUGGUGCUUGUCAAAUGUGGAAUAACUCUUUGCCACCCUUCAUAUAGCAUGGUAUAUUAUUAUGAAUGAUUUCUAAAACAUCUAUAUAGGCCUUGUGGUAAAGGGCUUGUGAAGGCUUCAACAUGCUAUGUUUCCUUUAAAGUGGGACUUAUUUUUUCAUGUUCAAGGUUGUUUUUGAACAUUGUUUUAUCUACACUAAAGUCAGUCACUGACCUCCCAUCUUUUCCUGUGAUUGUGUAAAGGGAUGAAGAUGUGGUGUGAUGUAUACCUUUUGACUACUGAGUGUGUGACCAGUAAGUGCUGGUAUAAAGUAAGUUCACAGCUGUAAGAGAAAAGUGUAUUAGAAUGACAUGUAAUAAGUAAUGAGUUAAAUGUCAUUAUAUGUAUACCAAAAAACGAGGACAUUCCUUUCUUAGAAAUGUGUUCUAUCCACUUUGUUGUGGGGUUGUGGAGGAUUAUGUGGAUAGAGAUGGUUACAUUGUAACAGGAAGUUGUUCCUAUGUGGUGUCAGAGCCCUACAUACUGUUCAAUAAAGUGUUGUCAAUUAAUUCUG